GCCGUCGUAGCUCAGUCGGUCAGAGCAAGGCCCUGUCGAGGCCGAGGUCGCCGGUUCGAAUCCGGUCGGCGGUG
Molecule: transfer RNA, 74 nt
Filed under: Dactylosporangium roseum
Lineage: Bacteria; Bacillati; Actinomycetota; Actinomycetes; Micromonosporales; Micromonosporaceae
Description: tRNA-Asp
Rfam family: tRNA
About the family: Transfer RNA (tRNA) molecules are approximately 80 nucleotides in length. Their secondary structure includes four short double-helical elements and three loops (D, anti-codon, and T loops). Further hydrogen bonds mediate the characteristic L-shaped molecular structure. tRNAs have two regions of fundamental functional importance: the anti-codon, which is responsible for specific mRNA codon recognition, and the 3' end, to which the tRNAs corresponding amino acid is attached (by aminoacyl-tRNA synthetases). tRNAs cope with the degeneracy of the genetic code in two manners: having more than one tRNA (with a specific anti-codon) for a particular amino acid; and 'wobble' base-pairing, i.e. permitting non-standard base-pairing at the 3rd anti-codon position.
Source: RNAcentral